This 441-nucleotide ribosomal RNA is filed under the name uncultured bacterium. RNAcentral's name for it is "bacterial SSU rRNA". It matches the Rfam family "Bacterial small subunit ribosomal RNA", at positions 958 to 1398 of the family's 1533-position model. The record is from RNAcentral.
AACGCGAAGAACCUUACCUGGCCUUGACAUGCAUUGGACCGGCGCUGAAAGGCGCCUUUCCCGCAAGGGACCGGUGCACAGGUGCUGCAUGGCUGUCGUCAGCUCGUGUCGUGAGAUGUUGCGUUAAGUCGCGCAACGAGCGCAACCCCUGUCCUUAGUUGCCACCAUUCAGUUGGGCACUCUAGGGAGACAAACCCUCUUUGAGGGUGGGAAGGUGGGGAUGACGUCAAGUCAGGAUGGCCCUUACGGCCAGGGCUGCACACGUGCUACAAUGCCCGGUACAGAGGGAAGCAAUACCGCGAGGUGGAGCAAAUCCUCAAAACCGGGCCCAGUUCAGAUUGUAGUCUGCAACUCGACUACAUGAAGUUGGAAUCGCUAGUAAUGGCGUAUCAGCUACGACGCCGUGAAUACGUUCCCGGGCCUUGUACACACCGAGACGAC